Molecule: transfer RNA, 78 nt
Filed under: Streptomyces lavendulae subsp. lavendulae
Lineage: Bacteria; Bacillati; Actinomycetota; Actinomycetes; Kitasatosporales; Streptomycetaceae
Description: tRNA-Ala
Source: RNAcentral
CCGGAGCCCUGGCGGGCCGGCGCCGCUCGGGACUGGCGGCUCCGGCCCGCGGCCUGGUCGCGGCGGGGGCUCCGGGCC